Molecule: ribosomal RNA, 497 nt
Filed under: uncultured bacterium
Lineage: Bacteria
Description: partial 16S ribosomal RNA
Rfam family: Bacterial small subunit ribosomal RNA
Source: RNAcentral
GACGAACGCUGGCGGCGUGCCUAAUACAUGCCAGUAGAACGCUGAAGAGAGGAGCUUGCUCUUCUUGGAUGAGUUGCGAACGGGUGAGUAACGCGUAGGUAACCUGCCUUGUAGCGGGGGAUAACUAUUGGAAACGAUAGCUAAUACCGCAUAACAAUGGAUGACCCAUGUCAUUUAUUUGAAAGGGGCAAAUGCUCCACUACAAGAUGGACCUGCGUUGUAUUAGCUAGUAGGUGAGGUAACGGCUCACCUAGGCGACGAUACAUAGCCGACCUGAGAGGGUGAUCGGCCACCCUGGGACUGAGACACGGCCCAGACUCCUACGGGAGGCAGCAGUAGGGAAUCUUCGGCAAUGGGGGCAACCCUGACCGAGCAACGCCGCGUGAGUGAAGAAGGUUUUCGGAUCGUAAAGCUCUGUUGUAAGUCAAGAACGAGUGUGAGAGUGGAAAGUUCACACUGUGACGGUAGCUUACCAGAAAGGGACGGCUAACUACGUG